RNAcentral lists this unclassified non-coding RNA (360 nucleotides) under soil metagenome. RNAcentral describes it as "partial contains 5.8S ribosomal RNA, internal transcribed spacer 2, and large subunit ribosomal RNA". The stretch from base 1 to 120 matches the Rfam family "5.8S ribosomal RNA", at positions 35 to 154 of the family's 154-position model. The record is from RNAcentral.
GAUGAAGAACGUAGCGAAAUGCGAUAAGUAAUGUGAAUUGCAGAAUUCAGUGAAUCAUCGAAUCUUUGAACGCACAUUGCGCCCGCCAGUAUUCUGGCGGGCAUGCCUGUUCGAGCGUCAUUUCAACCCUCAAGACCCCUUCGGGGGACUUGGUGUUGGGGACCGGCAUAGGGGCCUUGCGCCCCUCGCCACCCCCGAAAUGAAUUGGCGGCCUCGUCGCGGCCUCCCCUGCGUAGUAGCACAACCUCGCAACGGGAACGUGACGGCGGCCACUGCCGUAAAACAACCCAAUUUUAUUAGAGUUGACCUCGAAUCAGGUAGGAAUACCCGCUGAACUUAAGCAUAUCAAUAAGCGGAGGA